GGCGCAGGCUGGAUGGUCGCCUCUGCGUUUUGCAGCAGGGGAGGAAAGUCCGGGCUCCAUAGGGCAGCGUAGCGGGUAACGCCCGCCCGAGGAGUGUUUUACUUUUCGAGGAUCAUCCCUCGCAACCAGUUAUUAAACAAGGGUUGCUCGGGAUCCCGAGCGUCAAGUUUCUCAGAAAUGAGACGCGAGGGAGAGCAACAGAGACGAGUUUGAGGAGCGCAUUAGUAACAUACUAAGCUUAAGCAUGUGUUACUGCUUCUCAAGGUGAAACGCGGCAAUCUCUACGCGGAGCAAGACUAAAUAGGUCCGGCUGAAAGAGCUGCCCGCUCGCAAUAGCCGGACGGGUAGGUCGCAUGAUUCUGGCAGCAAUGCCAGGACAUAGAUAGAUGAUCAUCACCCUUUUUAAAGGGGCCAGAACCCGGCUUACAGGCCUGCGCCUAUA
Molecule: RNase P RNA, 442 nt
Filed under: Candidatus Omnitrophota bacterium
Lineage: Bacteria; Pseudomonadati; Candidatus Omnitrophota
Description: RNase P RNA component class A
Rfam family: Bacterial RNase P class A
About the family: Ribonuclease P (RNase P) is a ubiquitous endoribonuclease, found in archaea, bacteria and eukarya as well as chloroplasts and mitochondria. Its best characterised activity is the generation of mature 5'-ends of tRNAs by cleaving the 5'-leader elements of precursor-tRNAs.
Source: RNAcentral